Molecule: ribosomal RNA, 500 nt
Filed under: uncultured bacterium
Lineage: Bacteria
Description: bacterial SSU rRNA
Rfam family: Bacterial small subunit ribosomal RNA
Source: RNAcentral
GACGAACGCUGGCGGCGUGCCUAAUACAUGCAAGUCGAGCGGAAUGAUGAAGAAGCUUGCUUCUUCUGAUUUUAGCGGCGGACGGGUGAGUAACACGUGGGCAACCUACCUUGUAGAUUGGGAUAACUCCGGGAAACCGGGGCUAAUACCGAAUAAUCCAUUUUGCUUCAUGGCGAGAUGUUAAAAGGCGGCUUCGGCUGUCACUACGAGAUGGGCCCGCGGCGCAUUAGCUAGUUGGUAGGGUAAUGGCCUACCAAGGCGACGAUGCGUAGCCGUCCUGAGAGGGUGAUCGGCCACACUGGGACUGAGACACGGCCCAGACUCCUACGGGAGGCAGCAGUAGGGAAUCUUCCACAAUGGACGAAAGUCUGAUGGAGCAACGCCGCGUGAGUGAAGAAGGUUUUCGGAUCGUAAAACUCUGUUGUAAGGGAAGAACACGUACGAGAGUAACUGCUCGUACCUUGACGGUACCUUAUUAGAAAGCCACGGCUAACUACGCG